UUCGCAAUGCCCGAAAGGGUGACGAAGCGACGCCGCGUGCGGGAAGAAGGCCUUCGGGUUGUAAACCGCUGUCGGGAGUUGAGAAAUGCAAGGAUGUUAAUAGCGUUCUUGCUUGACUAAAGCUCCAGAGGAAGCCACGGCUAACUCUGUGCCAGCAGCCGCGGUAAUACAGAGGCGGCAAGCGUUGUUCGGAAUUAUUGGGCGUAAAGAGCACGUAGGCGGCUAUGUAAGUCGGUUGUGAAAGCCUUCCGCUCAACGGGAGAACAGCAUCCGAUACUGCAUGGCUUGAGUGCGGGAGGGGAGAGUGGAACUUCUGGUGGAGCGGUGAAAUGCGUAGAUAUCAGAAGGAACGCCGGCGGCGAAAGCGGCUCUCUGGCCCGUAACUGACGCUGAGUGUGCGAAAGCUAGGGGAUCAAACGGGAUUAGAUACCCCGGUAGUCCUAGCCGUAGACGAUGGGCACUAAGUAGAGGGGUUUU
This 477-nucleotide ribosomal RNA is filed under the name uncultured anaerobic ammonium-oxidizing bacterium. RNAcentral's name for it is "bacterial SSU rRNA". It matches the Rfam family "Bacterial small subunit ribosomal RNA", at positions 365 to 832 of the family's 1533-position model. The record is from RNAcentral.